GAGGUUGCUCUUGAGGGAUCACCUUGACUGGGCUGCGAACUUGGAGUGCAGUCUAUGAACUCAGCUUUGCUCUGUGACCUCGGGCAAAUCGUACAAGCUCUCAGGGACUCAGUUUCUUCUGUGAAAUGGAGCCAUCAAGUUCAUUACCACCCAGGCUUUGAUUCCUCUGGUGAUGCGAUGGGGACUGGCCCAUCCAUGUGCUUUCCACCCAUCUCAGGACCCCACCAUGUAGGCUGCACAGAUGUGAUGGAGGGCCAGAGUCUCCAGGGGACCUUCUUUAGACUCUUCUACCCCUGCCGAGUGGAGGAGGAGACCUCAGAGCAUCCCCUGUGGAUUCCUCGCUAUGAGUACUACGAGGGCCUGGCUGACUACCUGCAAUAUAACAAGCGCUGGGUGGGGUUGCUGUUCAACCUGGGUGUGGGAUCUUGUCGCCUGCCUGUUAGCUGGAAUGGCCCCUUUAAGACAAAGGAAUCUGGAUACCCCUUGAUCAUCUUGUCCCAUGGCCUGGGAGGCUUCAGGGCAUUGUAUUCAGCUUUCUGCAUGGAGCUGGCCUCCUGUGGCUUUGUGGUUGCUGUGCUGGAGCACAGGGACCAGUCAGCUUCGACCACGUAUUUCUGUAAGCAGGCCCCAGAAGAUAGCCAGCCCACUGAGUCACUGGAGGAGGAAUGGAUCCCCUUCCGUAGAAUCCAGGAAGGGGAGAAGGAAUUCCACGUUCGCAAUCCCCAGGUGCACCAGCGGGUAAGAGAGUGCGUGCGCGUGCUGAAGAUCUUGCAGGAAGUCUCCAGUGGGAAAACUGUCCUCAAUGUGCUGCCUGGUGGAUUGGAUCUGAAGACUUUGAAGGGCAGCAUUGACAUGAGCCGAGUAGCCGUGAUGGGACACUCAUUUGGAGGAGCUACAGCUGUUCUGGCUUUGGCACAGGAGACUCAGUUCCGGUGUGCUGUGGCCCUGGAUGCUUGGAUGUUUCCUCUGGAACAUGACUUUUACCCCAAGGCCCGGGGCCCUGUGUUCUUUAUCAAUGCUGAGAAAUUCCAGACAGUGGAGAGCGUGAACUUGAUGAAGAAGAUAUGUUCCCAGCAUGAACAGUCCAGGAUCAUAACUGUCCUUGGCGUUGUUCAUCGGAGCCAAACCGACUUUGCUUUUGUGACUGGCAACUUGAUUGCCAAAUUCCUCUCCAGUCACACUCGAGGGACAUUGGAUCCUUAUGAAGGUCAGGAGAUUAUGGUGCGAGCCAUGUUGGCCUUCCUGCAGAAGCACCUUGAUGAAUAUACUAAAGCUUAGAAAAUUCCAGUAGUUUGUUCAAGGUUCCCAGAUGAUGCUGGCAGUGCCAACGCGCUGCCCUAGUUGUUCAGUUUCAAAGACCACAAGCUUCAUUGCCAGACUGUGCUAUCGUGCCACAUUAUGUCCUUGACCACAGUGUACAUGCAGUGACUGCCUCAGGAGACCCAGAGGACAGACCUGAAGGAGAACUACGAUCAAUGGAACAGCUUCAUCGAAGGCAUUGGACCGUCGCUCAUUCCAGGGGCCCCACACCAUCUGUCUAGUCUCUAAGCACAACUGAUCAUCUGUAGGUCACUUGAGCUGAGUUUCCAUUUGGGAGCUGCCCUGGGGGGCACUUGUAACCUAUCAGGAAGUGAUCAGGCCUCAUCCCUUUCUCACAGAUUGAUUGAUCACACUGCUGAUUGUGUACCUAGGUACUUUGAUCUUGGACUUGAUUUUGAAUUCACUGGAAUGUGGAUCACUGACUGAUUGGCAGGCUGACUUCUUGUUUUGAGACAGGGUCUCAUAUCCCAGGCUGGCCCUGAACUCACUAUGUAGUGAGGAUGACCUUGAACUUCUGAUUCACCUGCCUCCGCCUCCCAAGUGCUGGAGUGCAGAAUCACAGACAUGUGCCACUACGCCUGGUUUAUGAUGCGGUGCUAAGCAUUAAACUCUACCAACUGAGCAUUCUCAUCCUUUAGCAAGCUAACUUUCUGGGGCUGAGCCCCGAGAGUUUGAGGAACAAACAUUGGGGUGAGGCUAGUUGAGACCCAGACCUCAAGCUGAGCCCCAUGAGGCCUGGGUGUGAAGACAGCCCGGUGAGCCCACUCUCUCCCAUUGGGCCAGUAUUGCCUUUUUAGUAUAAGGGGUGAAGCCAAAGGACAGAGGGGAAUCUCAGCAGGGCCUCCAGCCCCGCCUGGUACUCUACCCUGCCUCCCAGCCCUCUCUUUUUCCAAGGCCACUUGGUGAAAUAUACUUUAGAGAAUGCUCUGGUUUUCCACUUAUUUGGGGGUCUUCCCACAGCAUGAAACACAGUAAUAGACACUUAGUACUGUUGUGUUUAGGAGCCCAUGGGGUCAGACAGUACUGUCCUCAUAACACAGGGAGCAACACUAAGACACAGAGAGGUACCACAGAAGUUCUGUGUGUCUUUGCAGUUAUGCAAAAGUCUGUCUUGUCAGCUGAGGAGCCAUUUGUACAGGCCACAGAGCAUACUGGGUCGGUCAGCUCAAACUCAGCCACUCCUAGAGAGUUCUAGGGUUGACUUGGUCUUGCCUCUUACCUCUAAGACCAAAACCUCCAACUUGGCCCAAAUCUGGGUGUUUUAAUCAUCUGUGUUUUGGGCUCUGAUACCAUCACCCCAAAUUUGUCAAGAAACAGACCCACUUUCCAUCCUGUUGCUUCUCUAAUUUGAAUGUUGACACUCGUGUUUACCUAAUGGCACGUUGCAAUGCCCCACCUAUUCAACCUGCAUUAGAGAGUCGGGAAGCCAUCUCUGGAAGUGACUCUUCCUUCUGCCUGUGUUCACUCACUGCAUGGGCCCCUGUAGAAAGUCUUCAGAAGGAAAGGAAAUCUUCCCAGAGAUCUAGUGCCAAGCAGCAUGGGAAAGCCAGUCCAAAACUCCAUCUCCAUCACACAACCUCUCGCCUCCUCUGGAAACACAAAAGGAAAAAGCACCUCUACACAGUGGUCCCAGGUGAGGCCGCCCAAGCUGGAGGAGCUAUGAAUUCUGGAGAAACACGUCUCAUUAGAGCCAUGGCUCUGCAGUUACACAACCCGGCUGUGAGUCUCAGCUUUACCACUGGGUAAAUCUAAGCAAAUUAUUUUGAUCUCAGUUCCUACAAAUCUAAGAUGAGGGUCUGCUUUACAAAUUAAGUGAGGGGAUGUAUAACCCAUGUUUUAUUAAAAUAUGCAUUGCCCA
Nannospalax galili (Upper Galilee mountains blind mole rat) is the source of this 3178-nucleotide RNA transcript. It is a transcript of the gene named platelet activating factor acetylhydrolase 2, with no coding region annotated. Lineage: Eukaryota; Metazoa; Chordata; Mammalia; Rodentia; Spalacidae. The transcript is spliced from 13 exons. The record is from RefSeq and is a predicted model, not a curated record.